Molecule: ribosomal RNA, 448 nt
Filed under: uncultured bacterium
Lineage: Bacteria
Description: bacterial SSU rRNA
Rfam family: Bacterial small subunit ribosomal RNA
Source: RNAcentral
UGCCAGACUCCUACGGGAGGCAGCAGUGGGGAAUAUUGCACAAUGGGGGAAACCCUGAUGCAGCGACGCCGCGUGAGCGAUGAAGUAUUUCGGUAUGUAAAGCUCUAUCAGCAGGGAAGAAGAUGACGGUACCUGACUAAGAAGCCCCGGCUAACUACGUGCCAGCAGCCGCGGUAAUACGUAGGGGGCAAGCGUUAUCCGGAUUUACUGGGUGUAAAGGGAGCGUAGACGGCGAUGCAAGCCAGAUGUGAAAGCCCGGGGCUCAACCCCGGGACUGCAUUUGGAACUGUGUGGCUGGAGUGUCGGAGAGGCAGGCGGAAUUCCUAGUGUAGCGGUGAAAUGCGUAGAUAUUAGGAGGAACACCAGUGGCGAAGGCGGCCUGCUGGACGAUGACUGACGUUGAGGCUCGAAAGCGUGGGGAGCAAACAGGAUUAGAUACCCUUGUAUA